CCUACGGGUGGCUGCAGUGAGGAAUAUUGGUCAAUGGUCGGAAGUCUGAACCAGCCAAGCCGCGUGAGGGAUGAAGGUCCAGAGUAUCGUAAACCUCUUUUGUCAGGGGACAAAGGCGAGUACGUGUCCCCAGCUGAAUGUACCUUACGAAAAAGCAUCGGCUAACUCCGUGCCAGCAGCCGCGGUAAUACGGAGGAUGCAAGUAUUAUCCGGAUUUAUUGGGUUUAAAGGGUGCGCAGGCGGUCUGGUAAGUCAGCGGUCAAAGGUCGGGGCUCAACCCGGGCACUGCCGGUAAAACUGGUAGUCUAGAGAGGGAGAGCGGUAGGCGGAAUGUGUGGUGUAGCGGUGAAAUACAUAGAGAUCGUGCAGAACGCCGAUUGCGAAGGCAGCAUGCCGG
RNAcentral lists this ribosomal RNA (397 nucleotides) under uncultured bacterium. RNAcentral's name for it is "partial 16S ribosomal RNA". It matches the Rfam family "Bacterial small subunit ribosomal RNA", at positions 338 to 732 of the family's 1533-position model. The record is from RNAcentral.